Unclassified non-coding RNA from Dipodomys ordii (Ord's kangaroo rat), 300 nucleotides. Its record names the gene 7SK. It matches the Rfam family "7SK RNA". Rfam says of the family: 7SK was discovered as an abundant small nuclear RNA in the mid-70s but a possible function has only recently been suggested. Two independent studies have found that 7SK RNA binds the CDK9/cyclin T complex (known as elongation factor P-TEFb). P-TEFb activates transcription by phosphorylating the C-terminal domain of RNA polymerase II. NCBI's taxonomy places the organism in Eukaryota, Metazoa, Chordata, Mammalia, Rodentia, Heteromyidae. The record is from Ensembl.
GGAUAUGAGGGCAACCUGGCUGUGAUAUCUGACACCAGAAUUGUUGACCUAGCUGGCUGGAUGAGAGUGUGCUUUCUCAUCACUCUGUGUCCCUCCAGAAACUGCACAACUUGGUUGAGAAGCACCUUCCCCAAAGAGGAAGACCAUUUUGUAAUCAAGGGCUUAUGAGUAGCCAUGCUCUUCUGAUAGAACCUCUAAACAAACUCUCAAGAUUCCCACUUCUAUCCGCUCCCCUAAGAGAAUUCCAUUCUUAGCUAAGCCUUUGAUCAGACAAAACCAAGUCUGCCACUGGCUUGACAU